AUAAUAUGAAUUCUAUCACGGUCGCGGGACUAUGUAAAUUUGUAAUUUAAAUUUCCGAGAAUUGGAAAAUGGGUGCAGGCGCAUUUGAAAGCAUUUGAAACGUGCGAAAGUAGACGCGAGACAUUCGCUUGUUCGAUGUCGCGCUAAAUUCUAACGUCGCCAUUUUUCUUGCGCAUGCUCGUUCCGCUCCAGUUUUGAUCGCGCUUUUCUCGGAUUCGGAUCUAACAACGUUUUAGAAUUUUCAUUCCUAAGAAUAUUUUCAUCGGUGCGUCUUUCUUGUCGCCAAGAACGCGUCGGCGUGACGUCGACGUUUAAACGACACGAGGUUAACGUUCCGAUAGAACGAUAAAACUACAGGCUGAGUCACUCGUUCGAAUACCCGAGAUAGGAAUGAACCAAGUGGACACGCGAAGCAGGUAUCGGUGAGCCUGAUAUGUUAUAUUGGGUUGUCCGGAAAGUUCAUGCCUAUUUUUAAGAAAAAUUCAAAGCCAUUCCGAUAUAUUCAGACCUGUACUUCCUACUAAAAAUCGGCAUGGACUUUCCAGACAGCCCAAUAUUUAAAAAAAAGAUACAAAUUCUAAAUAUCAAAAUUAUGCGGCGUAAUGGUUUAAAAGAAGUUUUAAAAGUACCAACGACUAAAUGACGCAACGAAUGAGUAAUCCAGUAGCGCUUUGUUGCGAAUACAUGUAAAAAGGAUCGGGAAGAAGGAACGACUCUCGCACGGCAUGCAAAGCGCGCGUAUUUUGCUCUGCCAAGGCCUCGUAGCGGUUCACUAUUCCGAGAUUGACCUUUCGUACACGCGGAUGCCUCCAAAACGUGCAAGAGAUCUUUCCCGUUGAUAGACCGUUGACUCAUAGUCGGCUGUAUGCCUUCGCGUAACGAUAUCAACGACGAUGGUUUACUUUAACCGUAUUGGCGUUUUACCGACCGGUAGCGUAAUUAUAACACGUUGACUGCCACACUGAUUCGCAUGGAAAUGUCUACAGGACUAAAAUUUCGUCUCGAGACGAUUAGAAAUGAUAGAAUCUAACUUGUUUUCAUCGAUACUUAGUCCUUCAAAUUAUUUAUUAAAAUUCUUUAGUGAAAAGCUCCGUCAGCCAUAUGUGGGUGACGUGGCGUUCAACGUGUUAAUCGUCUGGGUAUUUUGCUAAAAGACAACCGAUACUCUGUUACCUACUAUAAUUAUUAAAAAUAGGAUCGUGUCGAACAAUUAACGGUACUGGUACCAUAAAAAGAACAACGCGUGCGCGCACCGGCACGCGACUGGCUCGAUUCAGUGGCACGGGGAACAAAGACCGGACACGAGUUGCGCAACGCAAUGUUUAUCCAGCCGAUUAUCUAUGCUAGAACCACCGCUAAGCAUUUCACUUUUAUUCGAAUUGAUGCACGAGCCGCUACCGCGACGAGAAACACCGCCACCUGUUACGUACGUAUGUCUAGCGGUCUACCCGACGCCGACGGGACCAAUUACAAUCGAGCACAGCUAUCGCUUGGCACAUCGCGUUCGAAUCGUUACAACACUUUCGGUGCGUCGGCAAACUGAAAUUUUAGUCCUGUAUAGAGUCACCGAGUCGCAGCGACGGUCGACGACAUAAUUGUACCGCGGGCACAGGUCAGUCUGGCGCGAGGUGUCACCAUCAGGUCAUCGUUUCCUUGGGAAAAAGACGGCCGAGCUUAUCGCGAAUCCGUCCGAGGAUCGCUAACGAGCGUUAUUACAGAGACGCGCGUUCUUUCGUAGAGCGAUGCCUCGAGUUUAACCGCCGAGUACCUCUCGCUCUCGUUUUCUCCGCAUCGAGACUUUCGCCAGUUACCGAUUAGAAAUCUCGUGUUCACGACCAAGUGUACAUUCGUGGCCGAGACUCGUGCCAGCUUUUCUUUUCCACGGUGUACGAUCGGUCCAAAAAGUACGGAAAAUUUCAGAAAAGUCUCGCGAACGUCCGAGAAUCAUCGAGACGGAGAACGCUGACGCAGAUCGAGUCGAACAAAGCGUGAACGAAUCGGCAUCGAGGAAGGUCUCGAAUCUAUCCGGGUGUACGGAUAAGGCAAGGACCCGAGUCCCGUUCUUUCUUCCAGGUUGAAUCAGGAAGCGAAUCGCUCGGUGUUCGCGGACUGACGUGUCCAUGGAUCGCCUUUAUUCCAAAAACGCGCUUCACGGCCCGUCCGUAGAUCUCGCAUGGUCCGUCGUCCAUGGUCUCUUCUGUAGGGGGCGACAUGCAAUGCUGGUCGAGCUAAUUCGUCUCGGUAGUUUGAAAGUCGAGCUCGUUACGGGCCGGUCGAAUCGACGAAUCAAGGCCGGCCAGAAACACGUAUCGUGUUGCCAAUUUUAUUAGUCACUGCAGCGAACGUACCUUAAGGUCACUCUGUUACACGUGUCUAUUAAUUGCUCGGUUGCACCUUCUUCCAUGCCGAAACAUCUGUCCUACUAGAACAACGGAAUAUCGAUAUCAACGAUAUCCGGCUGACUCUUCUUUUUCAAAACGUUGCCAAUCCAGAGCGUCUCCUAAAACGCCCGCUACGAGAUUCUACGAUUUUCUUUAUCCGUGCCGUGCCAGGUUGUUUCGCCACGUAAAAUCUUGGGAAACCGAUCGAGCUUACUCAAAACCGACCACCGGUGUGGUAAUUAAUGCGCGUUAACAUUUCACGCUGAUACGCAAUCGUAGCAUUGUUCGACACCCUUAUCAGCGAGACGUUAUCAUCGUAUCGAUGACUAACGCGCCAAUUCCGCGGAAUUAGUUUAUUUGUACGUUUUCCGCGUGUCAACCCCGGGAAAAAAAGCGUCAGCUAGCGUUGGACAACUUCGCAGUAGUUGCUCGUAAUUACAACUUUUCUGUAUCGUUUCUGUAUCCAACGGAUAACCAAUUACAUUGUACGAUAGUUUGCGUAGCUCUCUUAAGAUUGCACAAAAGCAUCUAAGGAAAUCGAAAUCGUAAUCGUGGAUUGCGCGGAGCCCGAUACCGGUGCCAGGUACCAGCUCGAUCUUCAUCGCGUAAUAGAAACAAGACGAGCGCUAGACAAACGUUUCGACUCGGUUUCUUUCCCCGAACGAAAUCCUCGCGCGAGCGAAAGUGUGAUACCUCAAACGCGGAAAGAUAUCGCGGCGUAGAAAGUAUGAAACGCGGACGAAACAGUUACGACGCGCGUCGCGUCGGUUCGGCAACCGAUUCUACCCGGCUUAUCCGAGUCAACGUUCGUGUUUCGAGACUUCAGGGGGCAACGAUAAAAUAAUUCGUAAAAUUAUAAAUCGCGAAAUUUAGAAAUUGCCUACGCUUAAAAUUACCGAAUUUGGUUCAACUUGGUGGCAUAAAAAAUAUCAUGUUUAAUUAUUCCUGUUACUAUAUGCAUUAUAUAUACUAUGUACACACGUUAACAGUAUGCAACCCUCGCGUAGACAGUAUGCACGCAUACGUUAACAGCAUUCAAAUUUUAGCAUAAAAAUUUUUAAUUUUGCGCCGCCUCCGAAAAGAUUGCAUUGUAUUUAACAUGCUGUACGUAAUAAUUUAAGAUUCAUCAAGAGCUGGCGAGUAUUUAUAUAAAUUGAUUAGAAAUUAUUUCAUACUUUUUUAGUGCAGUUGUAACGUUCUUCGAAGUCGGUUAUAUUUUCUUUCCCAAAAAUUA
Long non-coding RNA from Hylaeus volcanicus, 3615 nucleotides. RefSeq lists it as uncharacterized. The transcript has 4 exons. Lineage: Eukaryota; Metazoa; Arthropoda; Insecta; Hymenoptera; Colletidae. The record is from RefSeq and is a predicted model, not a curated record.